AAGCUCGCCCUUGGAAGACACGGGUUUGUAGAGCAGCAGAGAUCAGGCAACAGUGGGAUAUGCAGCAAAGACCUUAGAAGGUUCCAGGAUAGCACACACAUGGAUACUUGUAUACUUGUAUACACAUGUUCCUGUAUGCACACACUAACACCAGAGAGCAAGAAGUGCCCUCAACUUUCUUCCCUGUGAACUAGGAAACCAGCAAGAAGCUCCGGUUCCACUACUACUCUGAAGGCCAGAAUCCUACAGGGAGGGGUGUAAAGGAACUGUGUCGCAAUACAAGAUGUCUCUCUAGUUCUGACUAUGGGCCAAGCUGUGAAGUGACCUUACAUCUGAACCUCAAUCUACCCCCUCUUAAAAAACAAACAAACAAAAACAACCCCACCCUUUGCUGAGGACAAAGCGACACACGACAGUGGGAGCUUAAAAGGGAACAAGUCACAACUGCAGGCAAUGAGUUGUUAGGCUGCUGAAGCCAAAUCUAGGGGUAACAUUUCCCUGAGGGAUAGGUGCCACUUCUGGGAUGAUCCUGGAUAUGGGACUGACUGAAAGGGAGAUCAAACUUCAAGGAAAUGGAUCCUGAUGGUCUGCCAGAAACCAAACUCCUCUCGUUCCCAAAGAAAACCUCAGAGUCCCCUCCUGGCUGCCUGCAGAAGAAAGUCUCCUUGCUGCCUUCUGAUCAAGACAUAGAACUCUCAGCUCCUCCAGUACCAUGUCUGCCUGCCCAAUACCAUACUUUUGGCCAUGAUGAAAGUGAACUGAACCUCUGAAACUGUAAGCCAGCCCCAAUUAAAAGUUGUCUUUUGUAAG
Molecule: long non-coding RNA, 810 nt
Filed under: Rattus norvegicus (Norway rat)
Lineage: Eukaryota; Metazoa; Chordata; Mammalia; Rodentia; Muridae
Description: long non-coding RNA NONRATT027652
Source: RNAcentral